Long non-coding RNA from Globicephala melas (long-finned pilot whale), 740 nucleotides. RefSeq lists it as uncharacterized. Lineage: Eukaryota; Metazoa; Chordata; Mammalia; Artiodactyla; Delphinidae. The record is from RefSeq and is a predicted model, not a curated record.
AGGACAGGCAACCCAUCAGCAAUAGGGCUACCCAAGUGAUUUCAAGAGGCGUGUGGGUACUGAAUUGCCCUGGUAUACUCUUGGUGUCAUAAAUACUCCACACCUACUUGCUGGAAUCUUCUGAGUAAACCAUGCCUACUCUGGAGUCCUGGACCAACUAGACAAUGAAGGAAUCCUGCUUCAGUGGAAAACUAUCAACAGUGCAUCUGUACAUGUGUAGCACCGAGAGAAGAUAAUUUAUAAGAUGGACUCAUUCUCUUCCUGAACCACACAGCCGUGACAGUUACUGUAACGGACUGGACCUUAUGUGUAUAUGUGUAUGAUGUGAGUGACUCAUUUAGUUCUGUGUUUAGACAGCCUGUAUACAUAUGUCUAGGUAUAUGUAUUAAUACACGUAUUACUAUCUAUAUUUAUAUACACAUUAUCAGGAUGUUAAAAUGACAUGUUAGCUGAAGUGUCAAAUAUUACCACGUAGAACUUGCAGGAGAGAAGUUGGGCGAGGCUGGUGAGAUAAUGUUAUACGUUUCAUUCAUAUCAAUCGUAUGAAAAGGUCAGGCGUGGGAAAUCAGGGAAGGAACCUUGCAGGUUGCUUUGGAGUGAGUUGUUCUACGUGUCUCACCUUCUUCCUUUUGGGGAACAGGGGCAGGAGGAGAUCUCUUUAGAGAACAGGUCUUCCAGGGGACUGCCUGGAGAAUCUGGUAUGUGACCCCUCUCCACUCCCCAGACACACACAGUUUGGG